Molecule: ribosomal RNA, 1784 nt
Filed under: Rhyncaphytoptus sp. NJAUEriZ193
Lineage: Eukaryota; Metazoa; Arthropoda; Arachnida; Trombidiformes; Diptilomiopidae
Description: bacterial SSU rRNA
Rfam family: Eukaryotic small subunit ribosomal RNA
Source: RNAcentral
UGUAAAGUUCAAGCUCCGAUUAUGAGGGCGAACCGCGAAUGGCUCAUUAAAUCAGUCAUAAUCUACUUGAUUGUUUCAAGUUUAUAUGGAUAACUGUGGUAAUUCUAGAGCUAAUACAUGCACAAAGAGGGCGACUCUUGCAAGAGAGAAGCUCUGCGUUUAUUAGACUAAGACCAAUGGUCGCAGCAAUGCGAUCACAAUUCAAGGUGACUCUGAGUAAAUAAUGGGUGAAAGCCCAUGUUGCUGACCUGGCAUAAAGGGCCUCACGGUCCGCCAGGCAAAUCAAUCGAGUGUCUGCUCUAUCAACUGUGGAUGGUAGGAUAAUUGCCUACCAUGGUGGUGACGGGUAACGGGGAGUUAGGGCUCGACUCCGGAGAACAAGCUGAGAAACGGCUAGUAGGACUAAGGUCUGCAGCAGGCGCGAAACUUACACAAUGCUAGAUUACAAUUAGCGAUGUAGUGAAGAAAAAUAACGAUGUACUUCCAUUUAAACAUGGUAGUACAAUUGGAAUGAGACGACUAUAAAUCAGUUAGUCGAGUAACAAAUGGAGGGCAAGUCUGGUGCCAGCAGCCGCGGUAAUUCCAGCUCCAUUAGCAUACAUUAAAGUUGUUGCGGUUAAAAAGCUCGUAGUUGAAUUUUAGGCGGGCUCUAUUGGGCUGCAGCCGUCAAGGUUACUUCGGUAACUGGCUGUCACUGCCCUAUAGGAACCCGCUGUUUCGUCACUUAAUCGAGUGCGAAGCGGGCUGGCACUUGGUCAACUUCGGUUGCACUAAGCUUCAGCAUGUUUACCUUGAGAAAAUUAGAGUGCUCACAGCAGGCAGUUGGGGUGUAAAAGCUCCUUUAUGCUUGAAUAAUGUUGCAUGGAAUAAUAGAAUACGGCCUCGGUUCUAUUCUGUUGGUCUUAUAGAACAACAAACAAGUUGAUUAAAGCGAUCAAACGUCUAUUCUAAGCGUGGCUCUAAGGGCCGCUAUGUUUGAAUUGGCCGAAUUGUGUUACCUAGGGAUAAAACUUUAGUGUCGCGUUCACCUUUUGAAACUAGCAUCACCCAUUUAGUCAUCAAAGCGCUUUUAAUAUGGCAAGCUUUUUAAUCAACUGAGGCAAUGGUUAAAAGAAAUAGUCGCGGCGGCAUCAGUACUGCAUCGUGAGAGGUGAAAUUCUUAGACCGAUGCAAGACUAACUGAAGCGAAAGCGUUUGCCGAGGAUAUUUUCAUUAAUCAAGAACGAAAGUUAGAGGUUCGAAGGCGAUCAGAUACCGCCCUAGUUCUAACCAUAAACGUUGCCAACUAGCAAUUGGGUUGCGAUUCCUUUAAUCGAAGCUUAAAACACUUCGAUCAUUAUGAUCCACCCAGCGGCUCUCGUAGGGAAACCAAAGUGUUUGGGUUCCGGGGGAAGUAUGAUUGCAAAGUUGAAACUUAAAGGAAUUGACGGAAGGGCACCACCAGGAGUGGAGCCUGCGGCUUAAUUUGACUCAACACGGGGAAACUUACUAGAUUAGAACUCUGGAAUGAUUGACAGAUUGAUAGCUCUUUCUUGAUUCAGAGGAUGGUGGUGCAUGGCCGUUCUUGAUUCGUAUUCCGAAACGUCUGCUUAAUUGCGAUAACGAGUGAGACCUCACCCAACUAACUAGUCGUUUGGUGCGCUGUGGAACGCAAAAGUCUUGGUAGGGUUCGGUUGACCGGGCGUGAGUUCGCUCAAAGCCAGUUAGCUUCCUGCUUUAGAUGUUCUCUGCUCGCCAGCGGACUUCUUAGAGGGAUAAACGGUGUUUUAGCCGUAAGAAACGAG